ACGAAGAGCGAUGGAAGCUUGCUUCUAUCAAUCUUAGUGGCGAACGGGUGAGUAACGCGUAAUCAACCUGCCCUUCAGAGGGGGACAACAGUUGGAAACGACUGCUAAUACCGCAUACGAUCUAAUCUCGGCAUCGAGGAUAGAUGAAAGGUGGCCUCUACAUGUAAGCUAUCACUGAAGGAGGGGAUUGCGUCUGAUUAGCUAGUUGGAGGGGUAACGGCCCACCAAGGCGAUGAUCAGUAGCCGGUCUGAGAGGAUGAACGGCCACAUUGGGACUGAGACACGGCCCAGACUCCUACGGGAGGCAGCAGUGGGGAAUCUUCCGCAAUGGACGAAAGUCUGACGGAGCAACGCCGCGUGAGUGAUGACGGCCUUCGGGUUGUAAAGCUCUGUUAAUCGGGACGAAAGGCCUUCUUGCGAAUAG
RNAcentral lists this ribosomal RNA (424 nucleotides) under Veillonella parvula. RNAcentral describes it as "bacterial SSU rRNA". It matches the Rfam family "Bacterial small subunit ribosomal RNA", at positions 66 to 466 of the family's 1533-position model. The record is from RNAcentral. Lineage: Bacteria; Bacillati; Bacillota; Negativicutes; Veillonellales; Veillonellaceae.